GAAAGCAUACUACCACUGCCUAUAUAAGGAUAACCCUAUACUAGCAUUCAAUUGAGAAACAUAUACACGAGGUAAAAUCAAAAUUUCAAACCAAUCCUACUAAAUAAUUACAAUUCUACAUUCUAAAAGACAACCAAGAUGACCAGUCAUAAGAAAAUACUAACAACGCUAAAAGGUAACAUAUUUCACCAGACACACUACACCUAUAGUUAAUCCUUGUCGAGAGAGGCAAAUCAGUUCUGGAAGUCAAAUUUUAAUUCAGUGAUGAAGGUAAUUUCAAGAAGCCAUA
This 289-nucleotide long non-coding RNA is filed under the name Vigna radiata. RNAcentral's name for it is "long non-coding RNA (VRAD_LNC003254)". The record is from RNAcentral. Lineage: Eukaryota; Viridiplantae; Streptophyta; Magnoliopsida; Fabales; Fabaceae.